This 1011-nucleotide ribosomal RNA is filed under the name Triticum aestivum (bread wheat). RNAcentral describes it as "partial small subunit ribosomal RNA". The record is from RNAcentral. Lineage: Eukaryota; Viridiplantae; Streptophyta; Magnoliopsida; Poales; Poaceae.
AUGGCCAGAGUGAAGCUUGGCACGCAGGGCCUCGAGGUAUCCAAGAUCGGUUUCGGAUGCAUGGGCCUCACCGGCGUGUACAACGAUCCGGUGCCGGAGGAUGCUGGCGUCGCCGUCAUACGGCGCGCCUUCGACGCCGGCGUCACCUUCUUCGACACCGCCGAUGCUUAUGGGCCACACACCAACGAGGUCCUGCUUGGAAAGGCACUAAGGCAAGUGCCUCGUGAAAGGGUUCAAGUGGCCACCAAGUGUGGCAUAGCAGGAUUUGACGCCGGUGGCCUGUGUGUGAAGGGCACUCCAGAAUAUGUGCGUGCGAGCUGUGAAGCAAGCCUUGUGCGCCUCGGUGUGGACUACAUCGACCUAUAUUUCCAGCAUCGCAUCGACCAGUCAGUGCCUAUAGAGGAAACCAUGGGGGAACUGAAGAAGUUGGUUGAAGAAGGGAAAGUCAAGUAUGUUGGCUUGUCUGAGGCUAGUGCCGAUACCAUUAAGCGGGCACAUGCAGUUCAUCCGAUCACUGCAGUGCAGAUGGAGUGGUCACUAUGGACCAGGGAUAUAGAGGAAGAUAUUAUCCCACUAUGCAGGGAGCUUGGCAUCGGAGUUGUUCCAUAUAGCCCACUUGGUCGUGGUUUCUUUGCUGGCAGGGCAGCUGUAGAGAGCUUACCAUCAGGGAGUUUACUAUCCAAACAUCCUAGGUAUACUGGAGAAAACCUGGAGAAGAAUAGAGUUCUGUAUACACGACUCGAAAUGUUGUCCACCAAGUAUGGCUGCACACCUGCUCAACUUGCUCUUGCCUGGGUUCUUCAUCAAGGGGAUGAUGUCGUUCCAAUCCCUGGAACAACAAAACUGAAGAACCUCGAUGAUAACAUCGAGGCUGUAAAGGUAAAGCUGAGCAAGGAAGACCUGAAAGAAAUCUCAGCCGCCAUCCCUGCUGGCGAGGUGGCUGGGUCCAGGAUCAUUGGAAUCCUGGAGCCUUAUUCUUGGAGGGUUGCAAACACUCCACCUCAAAAGUAG